RNAcentral lists this long non-coding RNA (230 nucleotides) under Elaeis guineensis (African oil palm). RNAcentral's name for it is "long non-coding RNA (EGUI_LNC062287)". Lineage: Eukaryota; Viridiplantae; Streptophyta; Magnoliopsida; Arecales; Arecaceae. The record is from RNAcentral.
GUGGUCCAUGGCAGAAAAAGAAAGAGGGGCCGUCCAUGAGUUGGGCACCCCUUGUCUUGCCUUGUUUGGAUUUUUCUUGACUAGGUAUUUGAUCUAGACAAGGAUUCUUCAUAUCUCAUUAUUUAGAAUAAAUUUUUUUUAAAAUUUUUUUAAACUAUAGAGCAUUGAGAGGCCUUUGGGGCAUGUGAAAAAUCAGGGAGAAAGAGUGUAGGGGCGUGGAGAUAUAAUAG